This 278-nucleotide ribosomal RNA is filed under the name uncultured bacterium. RNAcentral's name for it is "partial 16S ribosomal RNA". It matches the Rfam family "Bacterial small subunit ribosomal RNA", at positions 357 to 626 of the family's 1533-position model. The record is from RNAcentral.
AGGAAUGACUUCCACAAUGGACGAAAGUCUGAUGGAGCAACGCCGCGUGAGUGAUGAAGGGUUUCGGCUCGUAAAACUCUGUUGUUGGAGAAGAACGGGUGUCAGAGUAACUGUUGACAUCGUGACGGUAUCCAACCAGAAAGCCACGGCUAACUACGUGCCAGCAGCCGCGGUAAUACGUAGGUGGCAAGCGUUGUUCGAUUUAUUGGGCGUAAAGCGAGCGCAGGCGGUUUUUUAGGUCUGAUGUGAAAGCCUUCGGCUUAACCGGAGAAGUGCAU